ACGCGUACCCAUACCGAACACGAACGUUAAGCCUUCCAGCGUCGAUGGUACUUGGACCGAAGGGUCCUGGGAGAGUAGAACGUCGCCAAGC
RNAcentral lists this ribosomal RNA (91 nucleotides) under Paenibacillus sp. OAS669. The record is from RNAcentral. Lineage: Bacteria; Bacillati; Bacillota; Bacilli; Caryophanales; Paenibacillaceae.